GCUAAACGCGAAGAACCUUACCUACCUUUGAAUCCACGGAACCUAGCAGAGAUGUUGGGGUGCCUUCGGGAACCGUGAGACAGGUGCUGCAUGGCUGUCGUCAGCUCGUGUCGUGAGAUGUUGGGUUAAGUCCCGUAACGAGCGCAACCCUUGUCCUUAGUUGCCAUCAGGUUAUGCUGGGCACUUUAAGGAGACUGCCGGUGAUAAACCGGAGGAAGGUGGGGAUGACGUCAAGUCCUCAUGGCCCUUACAGGUAGGGCUACACACGUGCUACAAUGGGCAGUACAGAGGGAAGCCAACCCGCGAGGGGGAGCGAAUCUCAUAAGCUGUUCGUAGUCCGGAUUGGAGUCUGCAACUCGACUCCAUGAAGUUGGAAUCGCUAGUAAUCGCGGAUCAGAAUGCCGCGGUGAAUACGUUCCCGGGUCUUGUACACACCG
Molecule: ribosomal RNA, 437 nt
Filed under: uncultured bacterium
Lineage: Bacteria
Description: bacterial SSU rRNA
Rfam family: Bacterial small subunit ribosomal RNA
Source: RNAcentral